UAAUCAUUUAUUUUUAGUGAUUCGAAAUGGACGAAGUGAAACACAUAAGAAGGAAAUUUUAGCCAUUCGGAAGCUGUUUUAAACUUGCUUUUAGCAUUUUUUAAACUUGCGUUCUAAGCUAUAUCCAUUUUUUUUUUUGAAAACGAUUUUAAUAUUUUCACUUCUUCCAUUUCAACAAACAUCUUUAAAAAUCUUUCAUACGUAUAAAGAAAAAGAAAUUUUAAAUUUUGCCUUCAAGUUUAUUCAGUUAUACAAAAUUUAGAGGAAACCCAAUGAUCGAAUUAUUUGUAUUUGCAUUUUUUUCAUCAGGUGUAGCAAACCUAUCUGUGCCAAGCAUAUGCUUGGACGUCAUCAGUAACCAAUAUUAAAAUAUUUGUAUGAAAAAUUUCUAUCUUCUUUAUUAGCAGUAACGAGCGAAAAUGAGGUAGUUAUGUUAAAAAAUUAUUUUCAAUUUCAAACUUGUAUAUAAAAUGUUUGUGUGAUCGAUAUAUGCUGUUGAUUAGGUGUCCCAGGUCAUUCUGAGCCAGCUGUCCCAAGCCAUUCUGAGCCAGGUGUCUCAAGCCAAUCUGAGCCAGGUAUCAUAAAACAAUAUGAUAUGGGUGACCCAAGCAAAACUAACGAAAUAGGUAUGUUCAAACAUUAUCA
Non-coding RNA from Parasteatoda tepidariorum (common house spider), 645 nucleotides. NCBI's taxonomy places the organism in Eukaryota, Metazoa, Arthropoda, Arachnida, Araneae, Theridiidae. The record is from RefSeq and is a predicted model, not a curated record.